This 253-nucleotide ribosomal RNA is filed under the name uncultured bacterium. RNAcentral's name for it is "partial 16S ribosomal RNA". It matches the Rfam family "Bacterial small subunit ribosomal RNA", at positions 524 to 776 of the family's 1533-position model. The record is from RNAcentral.
UACGGAGGGCGCGAGCGUUAAUCGGAAUUACUGGGCGUAAAGCGCGCGUAGGCUGUUGUGUAAGUUGGGGGUGAAAUCCCACGGCUCAACCGUGGAACAGCCCUUGAUACUGCGCGACUUGAAUCCGGGAGAGGGUGGCGGAAUUCCAGGUGUAGGGGUGAAAUCCGUAGAUAUCUGGAGGAACAUCAGUGGCGAAGGCGGCCACCUGGACCGGUAUUGACGCUGAGGCGCGAAAGCGUGGGGAGCAAACAGG